ACGGAAGGCAGCAGUGAGGAAUAUUGGUCAAUGGACGAGAGUCUGAACCAGCCAAGUAGCGUGCAGGAUGACGGCCCUAUGGGUUGUAAACUGCUUUUGUACGGGAAUAAAGUGACCUACGUGCGGUUUUGUAUGUACCGUUCGAAUAAGCAUCGGCUAAUUCCGUGCCAGCAGCCGCGGUAAUACGGAAGAUGCGAGCGUUAUCCGGAUUUAUUGGGUUUAAAGGGAGCGUAGGCGGUAUGUUAAGUCUGCGGUAAAAUGUCAGGGCCCAACCUUGGCUUGCCGUGGAUACUGGCGUACUUGAAUGUGCACAAGGAAGGUGGAAUUCGUCGUGUAGCGGUGAGAUGCUUAGAUAUGACGAAGAACUCCGAUUGCGAAGGCAGCCUUCUGGGGCAUGAUUGACGCUGAGGCUCGAAAGUGCGGGAAUCAAACAGGAUUAGAUACCCUGGUA
This 451-nucleotide ribosomal RNA is filed under the name uncultured Paraprevotella sp. Its description in RNAcentral is "partial 16S ribosomal RNA". It matches the Rfam family "Bacterial small subunit ribosomal RNA", at positions 341 to 792 of the family's 1533-position model. Lineage: Bacteria; Pseudomonadati; Bacteroidota; Bacteroidia; Bacteroidales; Prevotellaceae. The record is from RNAcentral.